Molecule: non-coding RNA, 29 nt
Filed under: Rattus norvegicus (Norway rat)
Lineage: Eukaryota; Metazoa; Chordata; Mammalia; Rodentia; Muridae
Source: RNAcentral
UAGGUAACUGUGGAGACAUGUUGAUACCU